AACGAACGCUGGCGGCGUGCUUAACACAUGCAAGUCGAACGGAGUUAUAUUAUGUAGCAAUACAUGAUAUAACUUAGUGGCGGACGGGUGAGUAACACGUAGGUAACCAACCCUAAAGCGGGGGACAACCCAGGGAAACUUGGGCUAAUACCGCAUAAGACCACGGACUGGGAGGUUUGUGGUAAAAGUAGCAAUACACUUUAGGCUGGGCCUGCGGCCUAUCAGGUAGUUGGUAAGGUAAUGGCUUACCAAGCCUAAGACGGGUAGCCGGACUGAGAGGUUGAACGGCCACACUGGAACUGAGAUACGGUCCAGACUCCUACGGGUGGCAG
Molecule: ribosomal RNA, 332 nt
Filed under: uncultured Nitrospirota bacterium
Lineage: Bacteria; Pseudomonadati; Nitrospirota
Description: bacterial SSU rRNA
Rfam family: Bacterial small subunit ribosomal RNA
Source: RNAcentral